This 274-nucleotide ribosomal RNA is filed under the name uncultured bacterium. RNAcentral describes it as "partial 16S ribosomal RNA". It matches the Rfam family "Bacterial small subunit ribosomal RNA", at positions 523 to 796 of the family's 1533-position model. The record is from RNAcentral.
AUACGGAGGGUGCAAGCGUUGUCCGGAUUUAUUGGGUUUAAAGGGUGCGUAGGCGGCCCGUUAAGUCAGUGGUGAAAGGUAUCAGCUUAACUGAUGAAGUGCCAUUGAAACUAGCGGGCUUGAGUACAGACGAGGUAGGCGGAAUUUAUGGUGUAGCGGUGAAAUGCAUAGAUACCAUAAAGAACACCGAUAGCGAAGGCAGCUUACUAGACUGAGACUGACGCUGAGGCACGAAAGCGUGGGGAGCAAACAGGAUUAGAAACCCGGGUAGUCC